This 483-nucleotide ribosomal RNA is filed under the name uncultured bacterium. RNAcentral describes it as "bacterial SSU rRNA". It matches the Rfam family "Bacterial small subunit ribosomal RNA", at positions 448 to 917 of the family's 1533-position model. The record is from RNAcentral.
AAAUCGCAUCUCCUAAUACGGGGUGUGGAGUGACGGUACCAGCAUAAGAAGCACCGGCUAACUACGUGCAGCAGCCGCGGUAAUACGUAGGGUGCGAGCGUUAAUCGGAAUUACUGGGCGUAAAGCGUGCGCAGGCGGUUUCGUAAGACAGAGGUGAAAAUCCCCCGGGGCUCAACCUGGGAACUGCCUUUGUGACUGCGAGGCUAGAGUAUGGCAGAGGGGGGUGGAAUUCCACGUGUAGCAGUGAAAUGCGUAGAGAUGUGGAGGAACACCGAUGGCGAAGGCAGCCCCCCUGGGCCAAUACUGACGCUCAUGCACGAAAGCGUGGGGAGCAAACAGGAUUAGAUACCCUGGUAGUCCACGCCCCUAAACGAUGUCAACUAGGUGUUGGGAGGGUUAAACCUUUUAGUACCGUAGCUAACGCGUGAAGUUGACCGCCUGGGGAGUACGGCCGCAAGGUUAAAACUCAAAGGAAUUGACGGU